RNAcentral lists this transfer RNA (77 nucleotides) under bacterium. Its description in RNAcentral is "tRNA-Val". It matches the Rfam family "tRNA". From Rfam's summary of the family: Transfer RNA (tRNA) molecules are approximately 80 nucleotides in length. Their secondary structure includes four short double-helical elements and three loops (D, anti-codon, and T loops). Further hydrogen bonds mediate the characteristic L-shaped molecular structure. tRNAs have two regions of fundamental functional importance: the anti-codon, which is responsible for specific mRNA codon recognition, and the 3' end, to which the tRNAs corresponding amino acid is attached (by aminoacyl-tRNA synthetases). tRNAs cope with the degeneracy of the genetic code in two manners: having more than one tRNA (with a specific anti-codon) for a particular amino acid; and 'wobble' base-pairing, i.e. permitting non-standard base-pairing at the 3rd anti-codon position. RNAcentral also lists the same sequence under 8 other names. The record is from RNAcentral.
GGGCGGUUAGCUCAGUUGGUUAGAGCGCUGCUUUCACACGGCAGAGGUCACGUGUUCGAGUCACGUACCGCCCACCA